UGGGGAAUUUUGGACAAUGGGCGCAAGCCUGAUCCAGCCAUGCCGCGUGCAGGAUGAAGGCCUUCGGGUUGUAAACUGCUUUUGUACGGAACGAAAAGGUGCCUUCUAAUAAAGGGCGCUCAUGACGGUACCGUAAGAAUAAGCACCGGCUAACUACGUGCCAGUAGCCGCGGUAAUACGUAGGGUGCGAGCGUUAAUCGGAAUUACUGGGCGUAAAGCGUGCGCAGGCGGUUUUGUAAGACAGAGGUGAAAUCCCCGGGCUCAACCUGGGAACUGCCUUUGUGACUGCAAGGCUGGAGUGCGGCAGAGGGGGAUGGAAUUCCGCGUGUAGCAGUGAAAUGCGUAGAUAUGCGGAGGAACACCGAUGGCGAUGGCAAUCCCCUGGGCCUGCACUGACGCUCAUGCACGAAAGCGUGGGGAGCAAACA
This 427-nucleotide ribosomal RNA is filed under the name uncultured bacterium. RNAcentral's name for it is "bacterial SSU rRNA". It matches the Rfam family "Bacterial small subunit ribosomal RNA", at positions 355 to 774 of the family's 1533-position model. The record is from RNAcentral.